CAGCCGCCACGGUAAUACGUAGGUGGCAAGCGUUGUCCGGAAUUAUUGGGCGUAAAGGGCUCGCAGGCGGUUUCUUAAGUCUGAUGUGAAAGCCCCCGGCUCAACCGGGGAGGGUCAUUGGAAACUGGGAAACUUGAGUGCAGAAGAGGAGAGUGGAAUUCCACGUGUAGCGGUGAGAUGCGUAGAGAUGUGGAGGAACACCAGUGGCGAAGGCGACUCUCUGGUCUGUAACUGACGCUGAGGAGCGAAAGCGUGGGGAGCGAACAGGAUUAGAUACCCGUGUAGUCCCUGUCUCUUAUAC
This 301-nucleotide ribosomal RNA is filed under the name uncultured bacterium. Its description in RNAcentral is "partial 16S ribosomal RNA". It matches the Rfam family "Bacterial small subunit ribosomal RNA", at positions 509 to 807 of the family's 1533-position model. The record is from RNAcentral.